This 400-nucleotide ribosomal RNA is filed under the name uncultured bacterium. RNAcentral's name for it is "bacterial SSU rRNA". It matches the Rfam family "Bacterial small subunit ribosomal RNA", at positions 355 to 751 of the family's 1533-position model. The record is from RNAcentral.
UGAGGAAUAUUGGUCAAUGGACGCAAGUCUGAACCAGCCAUGCCGCGUGAAGGAUGAAGGCGUUCUGCGUUGUAAACUUCUUUUAUUAGGGAAGAAACCACCGAUUUCUAUUGGUGUUGACGGUACCUAAGGAAUAAGCACCGGCUAACUCCGUGCCAGCAGCCGCGGUAAUAGGGAGGGUGCAAGCGUUAUCCGGAUUUACUGGGUUUAAAGGGUGCGCAGGCGGACUGUCAAGUCAGUGGUGAAAUUUCCGGGCUCAACCCGGAAACUGCCGUUGAUACUAUCAGUCUUGAAUACUGUUGAGGUGGGCGGAAUAGGUCAUGUAGCGGUGAAAUGCAUAGAUAUGACCUGGAACCCCAAUUGCGAAGGCAGCUCACUAAGCAGACUAUUGACGCUGAGG